CCCUAAAAUGAGUGCUCUCCGCCUCUUUGUUUCAAAUUGGUCUCUCCUCACUCUUCUGCUCGCGAUGAACACUAAACAGAGCAACAUAAUCUCUGUUCUCUCCACUCUCGAUUAUUUUCCGCCAUGAAAGGAGCUCUUAGAACUCGGACGAACCCACACACUCACACGGAACAAAAACAACGAAAUCCUCUCAAUCGCGUCGCUCUCUAGCGAAAUCAAACAAGACGCAAACAACAAUGAAAAACCCUAAUCCCCAAAUCAAACCCAACCCCAAUUCAAUAUUCAAUAGUGAUUACAUUUUACACGGUGGAAAUCGAAAAUGGCAAGAAGAAAUAAAUAAGCUACGAAUAACAGAAGAUCCUCAAGUAUACACUUUGCUCGUUAACUCGAUUCUUCCUCUUCUUUACUGUUCUUCGUGCUCAUCUCAUUCUUCUGCAUUUUCUUGUUUUGCUGCGUGUCUGUUGAUGUUGUAAUUUGGUGAGUCAGUGUUUAUUGAGUGUGAGGUUUUAUAUGUGUUAGCGCGUUCUAUUAUUUCAGUUGCUCGACUCUCGUUGCUUUGUGAUGUUUGUUGCAACACUGCAGGUUUAUUUAGAGAUUAGCAUGGUUGGGAGAAACCCUUCAAAAUAUGAACAUGAAGAUGUUUUAUAGGAUGCGUUUGAUAUUGGCUACAAUUUAUGAAUCUGUAAGCUUCUCCCUGCUGGUCCCAUGCUGCAGAGAAGUUCUAUGAAACAAUGUGAGAUAUUGACUGGAACCUUGACACCAAGAGUACGAGCUCUAAAAAGUCUUACAACUCUAUCUUAGAUUGCUUGUUAAUGAAAUCAUGUCUAUACGUGAUAAGAAUCUUCUGCAUUUGGUCCCUGUAGAGUUUGCAACAAAUGCUUCUUGAGAUUUCAAAUUGGAUUAAGAAUCCUGAUUUUGAUUGGGAUUAUAUCCAGCAGAGACCUUCUCAAGAGCUUGUAGCUAAGGAUAUACAUGGCCUGGAAUGGAGGUUUUGGCACAUUUACAGUGGUCAGCCAAGGAGGCAUUUGCUGACAACUGGGUGGAGUGCAUUUGUUAACAAGAAGAAGCUCGUGUCUAGUGAUGCUGUGUUGUUUCUUAGGUAUCAUGAACCGAAUUCCAUAAAAUAUUAUGAACAUGGUAUAUCAAUAACAAUGACUAACGUUUUAUUAUUGAUAUACCAUGGGUGGUGAUGGAGAGCUGAGAUUAGGUAUCCGUAGGGCUGUUCAGUUGAAAGGAUCUGGUUCCUUUACAGCUUCUGGCAUGCAAUUGGAUCCUAGCUCUCUCAUGGACGUUGUGAAUGCUUUAUCCAAAAGAUCCGCGUUCAAUGUUUGUUAUAAUCCAAGGGUCAGUUCUUCGGAUUUCAUCAUACCUGUCAACAAGUUCAUAAAGAGCCAUAAUUGUUCUUACUUUGCUGGAAUGAGGUUCUGGAUGCGUUUUGAAACUGAAACUUGAUUGUUCUUAUUUUAUCAUCUAUUAGAUGCAAGAUCAAUAAGGGAUGUUUGUGAAUGUUGUUAUCCCUCGUCCAAAUUCAAAUGGAGAGCUGUCUGCAGGUAUUAGAAAGGUGUUCUUGAAAUACUCUGACUAUACUGCUUCUUUAGCUGCAAAAAAUGAUUUAAAUGGCCGAAAAUUUUGGGGUAAUAUUGUGACUGUUGUUUACUAUCCAGAAGAAAAUUAUCAUACAUGGAGUAUGAUUUAUAACCACUUCUAGGGAUGAUGAUUUGUUUGUAGUGUUUAUAGCAACUCUUUGUCACUCAAGUUUUUAUAUUUAGUUUUGGUUCAGGUUUAUUAGAUAUAUAAUGUACUUAGUCAAUCAUAUAUUGAUGCUAUUAUCAUUGAUGUGUAGAUAGUAAAAUAAUUUGUAAUCAUACAAUUACAGUAAUCAAGCUUUAAAUUCUUCAAAAUUGGCGCAAGUGAUUGGUGUGUUGGUUUGAAAAAGAAAAUCAGUCUGUUGGGCAAGUUUUGUUUCACUAUUGGAGCACUUAGAACUGAUUCUAAAAUUGUUUUUUUACCUGUAAAAUUAACAUGUUUAGUUUACAUGUAAAAUUGGCCUGCAUAUAGCUGUAGUUUUAAUAAGUGGCCAUAAACAAGUUGUGGCAAGACCUAGGCAACUAAAUCGUAUGCUAUACAUUAAAUAAGAACGGUGGUUUUAUGAUUUGACCACUAUUUAGAACUAAGGUGCAAGAUAAACCGCGACCUUAAUCUAUAUACCUAAACCGUGGUCUAUAUAAGCCACGAAUGUCCAUAAAACGUGGCACAAACAAGAAAACUGUGGAUUAUACUUUAGGCCACGACUUCAUGUCCCACAGUCACUUUUCAGGGGCCAAAGCGUUAAACCACGACUAUUUUGCAUAUAGCCGCGGUUUUAUGGCCGUGGUAGAUGAACUUUUUUUUGUAGAGAAUUAAAUCGAUAAUUCAAACUAAAUCAAAUCGAAACAAAACUGAUUCUUUGUGGUUCGGUUCAAAAACCGAAUCAAACCAAUAAAAAACGAUGUGGAAUGGUCCGGUUCUCAAUUUUAGUUUUUAAAUAUCGUCAGACCGACGAACUGAACCAAUGGAUAUGACUACGCUCUAAAUUUCUUUAUUCCACUCAUUUUUAAUCCAAAAUUUUGUAUUAGUCCAAUAAUUUUCAAUUUUUUUUUACACUUCCAUCCUUUUAGAAAACACACAUCUAUAACCAAACUCCAAAACAAGGAAAAUAGAAACCAUAAGUAAAAAAACUGUUUUCACUGAGCUGCA
Long non-coding RNA from Vicia villosa (hairy vetch), 2736 nucleotides. RefSeq lists it as uncharacterized. The transcript is spliced from 8 exons. The record is from RefSeq and is a predicted model, not a curated record. Lineage: Eukaryota; Viridiplantae; Streptophyta; Magnoliopsida; Fabales; Fabaceae.